This 905-nucleotide ribosomal RNA is filed under the name uncultured bacterium. RNAcentral describes it as "bacterial SSU rRNA". It matches the Rfam family "Bacterial small subunit ribosomal RNA", at positions 79 to 969 of the family's 1533-position model. The record is from RNAcentral.
AAAAAUUAAGCCUUAAAAUCUUAAACUUAUUCCUUAAAUUUAUUCACUAUCGAAGGUAGUGCGGGGGAGCGGCGAACGGGUGAGUAACACGUUGGAACCUACCUCAGACUCAGGGAUAGCCCACCGAAAGGGAUUAAUACCGGAUAGUCUCGUAAGGUAAAGCUUUUGCGGUCUGAGAGGGGCCUGCGGUCUAUCAGCUUGUUGGUAAGGUAAAAGCUUACCAAGGCUAUGACGGAUAUCUGGUGUGAGAGCAUGACCAGACACAAUGGAACUGAGACACGGUCCAUACUCCUACGGGAGGCAGCAGUGAGGAAUCUUCCGCAAUGGGCGAAAGUGACGGAGCGACACCGCGUGGAGGACGACGGCCAUUUGGUUGUAAACUCCUUUUCUGGGGGAAUAAUUGAUGAAGGUACCCCAGGAAUAAGCACCGGCUAACUACGUGCCAGCAGCCGCGGUAAUACGUAGGGUGCAAGCGUUAUCCGGAAUCAUUGGGCGUAAAGCGUUCGUAGGUGGUUUAGAAAGUUUGUGGUUAAAUCUGGUCGCUCAACGAUCAAAUCGCUACAAAAACUCCUAAGCUAGAGUUUGGCAGAGGCAACUGGAAUUCCACAUGUAGGGGUAAAAUCUGUUGAUAUGUGGAGGAACACCAAAAGCGAAGCAGGUUGCUGGGCCAUUACUGACACUGAGGAACGAAAGCGUGGGGAGCAAACAGGAUUAGAUACCCUGGUAGUCCACGCCGUAAACGAUGGAUACUCGAUGUAGGAGGGAAUCGACCCCCUUCUGUGUCUAAGCUAACGCGUUAAGUAUCCCGCCUGGGGAGUACGGUCGCAAGAUUAAAACUCAAAGGAAUAGACGGGGACCACACAAGCGGUGGAGCAUGUGGUUUAAUUCGACAAUAAACGGGGAAC